This 29-nucleotide small RNA is filed under the name Bombyx mori (domestic silkworm). Its description in RNAcentral is "ovarian small RNA-6312". The record is from RNAcentral. Lineage: Eukaryota; Metazoa; Arthropoda; Insecta; Lepidoptera; Bombycidae.
UAGAUUCAGUCAAGUGCUUCAGCUGUAAA